RNAcentral lists this ribosomal RNA (559 nucleotides) under uncultured bacterium. Its description in RNAcentral is "bacterial SSU rRNA". It matches the Rfam family "Bacterial small subunit ribosomal RNA", at positions 120 to 674 of the family's 1533-position model. The record is from RNAcentral.
GGGAAACUGCCUGAUGGAGGGGGAUAACUACUGGAAACGGUAGCUAAUACCGCAUAACGUCGCAAGACCAAAGAGGGGGACCUUCGGGCCUCUUGCCAUCAGAUGUGCCCAGAUGGGAUUAGCUAGUAGGUGGGGUAAUGGCUCACCUAGGCGACGAUCCCUAGCUGGUCUGAGAGGAUGACCAGCCACACUGGAACUGAGACACGGUCCAGACUCCUACGGGAGGCAGCAGUGGGGAAUAUUGCACAAUGGGCGCAAGCCUGAUGCAGCCAUGCCGCGUGUAUGAAGAAGGCCUUCGGGUUGUAAAGUACUUUCAGCGGGGAGGAAGGUGCUGAGGUUAAUAACCUCAGCAAUUGACGUUACCCGCAGAAGAAGCACCGGCUAACUCCGUGCCAGCAGCCGCGGUAAUACGGAGGGUGCAAGCGUUAAUCGGAAUUACUGGGCGUAAAGCGCACGCAGGCGGUCUGUCAAGUCGGAUGUGAAAUCCCCGGGCUCAACCUGGGAACUGCAUUCGAAACUGGCAGGCUAGAGUCUUGUAGAGGGGGGUAGAAUUCCAGGU